UGAAAAUUGUUAGAUUUUUUGUUGUAUUUCUGGUUUUUUCCUUGGGACUUGCCAAGAGACAGAAUCGUUUUGCUCAUUUAUUAAGUGAUUCGAAAGGUCGACUGUAUAGGACUUAUAUACCUGGGGCUUACAAAGUUACAGUACCAAUGAGAGCAUAGACGAUCCUAUGAAAUCGACAGAAUCCAACAUAUACUGUUUCCUACCAUAACGAUUAUUUUACCCAUCUUCCGGGACCUCUACCACUUGCUAACCUCAUCAAAAUAAUAGUUCGCUUCGCCUUCAUUCUCCUUCGCCUCUUUUUUUGUGACGCCAACAAGUGUGGCACUUGAUCUUUUUCUUGCCACUUGCCAGGACACUCGGAUUGUGAUUGAGUGUGUGCAACAGAGCCCGGAGCCCGAAGGCAGCAGCCCGGAGUCCGAGACCCCCAGAGAACUCAUCGCACAUGCUGACCAACGUCCGGCUGCCUUUUGUUUGGCCAUUUUCGGGGGAGUGUGAGUGAUGAAAAUUUCGAUGAUGUCCAUUCAACAAUGCCAGUUUAUUGAGGAGUCGCAAAAGGAAUUUAAUUUUGUGCGAAACUUUUCCUAGGAGCGAACCAGGACAUCGUUGUCGUCAGUGAAGCAUCAGCUGUCCCUCAAGCUACUGCUCCUGACUCUCAUGCCUUCCUUAUCCAUCUAACAUUGGAUAGAUAAAACCCAAUUUGUUGCAAAUAAAAUAAAAAACAAUGCAGACGAGCAAA
Drosophila subobscura is the source of this 736-nucleotide long non-coding RNA. RefSeq lists it as uncharacterized. NCBI's taxonomy places the organism in Eukaryota, Metazoa, Arthropoda, Insecta, Diptera, Drosophilidae. The transcript has 3 exons. The record is from RefSeq and is a predicted model, not a curated record.